Molecule: long non-coding RNA, 361 nt
Organism: Cucumis sativus (cucumber)
Lineage: Eukaryota; Viridiplantae; Streptophyta; Magnoliopsida; Cucurbitales; Cucurbitaceae
Exons: 2
Source: RefSeq, a predicted model, not a curated record
GAUAAAAAAACCUAGCCCAUGAACACUUUCUCCCUACACCUCUCCCUCUACCAUAAAUACCUCAAAAUCCUAACCCAUUUUCUUUCUUUCCUCAUUCACCAAACCCUAAACCAUCCUAUUCUUUUUUACCCAUAUCCUAUUUCACUUCCCACCCAUAUUUUCUUCCUCUUUCACAACAAUUUUCUUUCACAUAAUUCAAUUUCCUCAUCUUCCACUUCCGCUAUUUCAAAAUCUUAAGAACUCAGGAACUCGAGAUGGCGCUGCUUGGACUUUCGAGGUAGAAAUCAAUAUCUUGGAAUGCCAAGAUUUGAUGUUAAUAUGUUUUCUUCUAAAUCAAGUUUUAAUAAGAAAAACUUUUACA